CUUGUACCGACUGGAUGAGCAGCGAACGGGUGAGUAACGCGUGGGGAAUCUGCCUUUGAGCGGGGGACAACAUUUGGAAACGAAUGCUAAUACCGCAUAAAAACUUUAAACACAAGUUUUAAGUUUGAAAGAUGCAAUUGCAUCACUCAAAGAUGAUCCCGCGUUGUAUUAGCUAGUUGGUGAGGUAAAGGCUCACCAAGGCGAUGAUACAUAGCCGACCUGAGAGGGUGAUCGGCCACAUUGGGACUGAGACACGGCCCAAACUCCUACGGGAGGCAGCAGUAGGGAAUCUUCGGCAAUGGACGAAAGUCUGACCGAGCAACGCCGCGUGAGUGAAGAAGGUUUUCGGAUCGUAAAACUCUGUUGGUAGAGAAGAACGUUGGUGAGAGUGGAAAGCUCAUCAAGUGACGGUAACUACCCAGAAAGGGACGGCUAACUACGUGCCAGCAGCCGCGGUAAUACGUAGGUCCCGAGCGUUGUCCGGAUUUAUUGGGCGUAAAGCGAGCGCAGGUGGUUUAUUAAGUCUGGUGUAAAAGGCAGUGGCUCAACCAUUGUAUGCAUUGGAAACUGGUAGACUUGAGUGCAGGAGAGGAGAGUGGAAUUCCAUGGGUA
RNAcentral lists this ribosomal RNA (612 nucleotides) under Lactococcus lactis. RNAcentral describes it as "bacterial SSU rRNA". It matches the Rfam family "Bacterial small subunit ribosomal RNA", at positions 74 to 677 of the family's 1533-position model. The record is from RNAcentral. Lineage: Bacteria; Bacillati; Bacillota; Bacilli; Lactobacillales; Streptococcaceae.